GUUCUCUUAGGGAUUAGUUUCUGUAAACGCAAUCGAGAGGAACCAGUUCACUAUGUACACAUCUAAAACGUAUAAAGUCUGCUUGAUUUUUUUACUUGGGUUCCCUGUAUAGUAUCAUCUUUAGGGUUUAGUAAUCUUGAAUCAAUGGGGAAUUGCAACUAUAAAAGAUUUUUGGGAUAACAGAUUUUUUUUUUGCAGAAAAGUUGGAUUGUGGAGAAGAAGCUGCGAAGAUGAAGGAGGAAAGAGAAGCUCAGAUG
This is a long non-coding RNA of Arabidopsis thaliana (thale cress), 257 nucleotides long. RefSeq annotates it as other RNA. The transcript has a single exon. NCBI's taxonomy places the organism in Eukaryota, Viridiplantae, Streptophyta, Magnoliopsida, Brassicales, Brassicaceae. The record is from RefSeq.